CCGUGAUAAAGUAGCAUAAUCACUUGUCACUUAAUUGGUGACUAGAAUGAAUGGUUUAACGAAUUUACAUCUGUCUCUAAGAGAAAUUUAGAAAAAUUGAAUUAACAGUGAAGAUACUGUUUAUUAAUUGAAAGACGAAAAGACCCUAUUUGAGCUUUACUAUAUGUUUAUUACAUUAAAACACAUAAUAAAGGUAUAAGACUAUAACCUGUAAACAAGUUAGUUUGGUUGGGGCGACCACCCCUAAAAAAGUAUCAGGGGAACUCUAAUGGUUUUAAUUUAAUAUAAUUAGCCUUACUGAAAAUAUACAUAUUAAACAGUUAUUAAAAAUAUAGGAUAUAUUGACCCAUUGAUUUAUUUGACUUUAAAAUCAAUGAAUAUGAAAAAAGUUACCGUAGGGAUAACAGGGUAAUAUUUUCUAAGAGUUCAUAUUGAUGAAAAU
RNAcentral lists this ribosomal RNA (442 nucleotides) under Deepstaria enigmatica. Its description in RNAcentral is "partial large subunit ribosomal RNA". It matches the Rfam family "Bacterial large subunit ribosomal RNA", at positions 1946 to 2515 of the family's 2925-position model. The record is from RNAcentral. Lineage: Eukaryota; Metazoa; Cnidaria; Scyphozoa; Semaeostomeae; Ulmaridae.